UACGUAGGGGGCAAGCGUUGUCCGGAAUCAUUGGGCGUAAAGAGCGUGUAGGCGGCUCGGUAAGUCCGCUGUGAAAGUCCAGGGCUCAACCCUGGAAUGCCGGUGGAAACUGUCGAGCUCGAGUCCGGAAGAGGCGAGUGGAAUUCCUGGUGUAGCGGUGAAAUGCGCAGAUAUCAGGAGGAACACCAAUGGCGAAGGCAGCUCGCUGGGACGGUACUGACGCUGAGGAGCGAAAGUGUGGGGAGCGAACAGG
RNAcentral lists this ribosomal RNA (253 nucleotides) under uncultured bacterium. RNAcentral's name for it is "partial 16S ribosomal RNA". It matches the Rfam family "Bacterial small subunit ribosomal RNA", at positions 524 to 776 of the family's 1533-position model. The record is from RNAcentral.